This 492-nucleotide ribosomal RNA is filed under the name uncultured bacterium. RNAcentral's name for it is "partial 16S ribosomal RNA". It matches the Rfam family "Bacterial small subunit ribosomal RNA", at positions 28 to 507 of the family's 1533-position model. The record is from RNAcentral.
GAUGAACGCUGGCGGCGUGCCUAAUACAUGCAAGUCGAGCGAACAGACGAGGAGCUCGCUCCUCUGACGUUAGCGGCGGACGGGCGAGUAACAAAUGGAUCACCUUCCUCUAUGACUGGGAUAACUACGGGAAAACGGAGACAAUAAUAGAUCAUAUAAUGUACCGGUUGAUUCAGUAGUUCUUGACGGUUUUGCCGACACAUUUAGCUCAUGCCGGAUUAGCUAGUUGGCUUGGUAAGGGCCCACCAAGGCAACGAUCCGUAGCCGGUCUGAGAGGAUGAUCAGCCACACUGGAACUGAGACACGGUCCAGACUCCUACGGGAGGCAGCAGUGGGGAAUCUUCCGCAAUGGGCGAAAGCCUGACGGAGCAACGCCGCGUGAGUGAAGAAGGUCUUCGGAUCGUAAAGCUCUUUUAUUAGGAAAGAACAGAUGUGUAAUAAACUAUGGACGUCUUGACAGUACCUAAUCAGAAAGCCACGGCUAACUUCGUG